Long non-coding RNA from Hemicordylus capensis (graceful crag lizard), 2307 nucleotides. RefSeq lists it as uncharacterized. The transcript has 3 exons. The record is from RefSeq and is a predicted model, not a curated record. Lineage: Eukaryota; Metazoa; Chordata; Lepidosauria; Squamata; Cordylidae.
UGAAUAACAGACCGCAGCUGUUUUGUUUAUGGAAUUAACCACUCAGUGUGAUUAAAGUGAUACUCCCUGCUAAUCACCACACCUUCAAGUAGCGGGCUAUAUAAUGCUAAUCACCACGCCUUUAAUUAGUGGGCUAUAUAAUACAGAGCCCCAUGAGCUGAUUAGCCAUUGAAUGAUUUGUCUUCCCGAAGUGAGAUGUAGGAGGAUAGAGCUCUCCAAAAAAUACUUUCGGAGGAAAUGGGUUGGGCUGCUACCUAUAAUUUUGCAGAAGCUUUAUAACAGACACAGAGCUAUAUUGGUCCUGGCUGCUUGAAAAACUGCCAGAAGAAAUGUUAUCCUUUAUUCAGAAAUCCGGAGGCCUGGCUUUCAAGGAGACAGAAACAGACUGUAUCUUAACACCACAGCAAGGAAAGAACUCUAAACAAGCCAACAACAACACUGGAAGGAAAAACCUCAGUUUGGACAGAGGAGUCUGAGCUCUGUAACCUUUUUUAACCUGACUCUGUAACCUUUUUUAUUUUAUUUUGCAAAUUCUGUUGUUUGUGUUAAAAAAGAAACUUUAAAGUGCAAAGUUAUCAUUGAAUUGUUUUUAUUGCGUUUCAUUUAUAUGGAAAGUUAAAGAAAUCUCACCAGGCAGGAUUACACUGCCAAUUGUAAAACCAGGAGAGUUGGUCUUGUGGUAGCAAGCAUGACUUGUCCCCUUAGCUAAGCAGGGUCUGCCCUAGUUGCAUAUGAAUGGCAGACUUGAUUUGUGAGCACUGUAAGAUAUUAUUCCCCUCAGGGGAUGGAGCUGCUCUGGGAAGAGCAGAAGGUUCCAAGCUCCCUCCCUGGCAGCAUCUCCAAGAUAGGGCAGAGAGAGACUCCUGCCUGCAACCUUGGAGAAGCCGCUGCCAGUCUAUGUAGACAAUACUGAGCUAGAUAGACCAAUGGCCUGACUCAGUAUAUGGCAGCUUCUUAUGUUCCUAACCCAUACAUGGUGUAAAGAAAGUGGUAUAAUGGCUCAAAAGAAAAUAAUGAGCACAUACAUUCCUAAGCAUUGAAGGUUUUGCCAUUUGGCCUCCAAAAUUCACAUGAUUUUUUUUUUUUAAAGAUGCAACACCCUAAUCCACAUUUCCCCAUCUUUACUAGCACAUGGUAGAAGGAGGAUAUACUUUACUGUUGGUACUGCAAGCACUUAAUAUUUUUCAUUGAGAAAUUAAUCCCCUCUCCACCCACACACAGACUCACAUACUAAAAUCCUAGUAUUCUUCAAAUCUAUGGCUUACUCUGUUCAGGGAGGCUACUAUUUGUUUUUUAUUUGCACCUUCCCCCAAACAAACCCAUUCAGAUAUUCCAAUCAGUUACUUGACUUUCUAUGCACUGUGCCUGUAGGGUUAAGGGUAUAGGUUUUUUCCCCUUCUACUCUAUUUUUGCCUAUAGUUCAGAUAGCUGUGUCCACGUGACUUAUUUAAUGCCUUUUAAAUUGGAGCCCAUUGGUCAAAUGGCUUCACAUUUCAUGCAGAAUAGCUGGGAAAUUGUAGUGUUAUGGGCAGAAGAAUGAGAGAUAGUUCUGACUGAAACCAACAGGAACCCAAAUGGUUGUGGUGUUUUUUGUUAAUCCAUUCCUUGAUCCAGGCCAGUUUAUGAACAGGGCUGUGGCGAUCAGUCCUCCCAUCCCCUAAAGAGUGAACCAGAAGUGGACCCUGUCCUGACUGACAGGCAGUGACCUCUGGGGAUCAGCCACUCAGCACACAGUGGCCGGGACCUAGAGGGCCUGGCAGCAGGAAGUGAAGAGGGUUUCUUGGUCCUCAGUUGGAGCCAGGCAGGGGAACAAGAGGUUGUCUGGCCAGGCAAUGGUGGCAGCCAGAAGCUCCACAGGGGCCUGAAGUUUCUACCAUGGAUUUGGUGAGUUCGGGAGGGAAGCCAGGACUUGGGCUUUGGGGAAAGGAACUGUGUGUUAGGUAGCAUGCGUUAGAUUUUGUUAGAUUUCAUGCUUUUGAAAAUCCCUACAACUGGUUUAUUGUGUUGUUAUUUGUAACAUAACAAAUCAAGGCAAACUGAGCCAAUGCCCUUUUCCAGCUAGGGCAUUGUAAAAGUCUCUGUAAACUCUCAAGGAGGCUUUUUCUAUUUUCUUGCAUUUUUGUUCUAUGCAACUGGGUAAACACAAUUUUAAAGUGUGCCACUCCAAGCACCAGCUGGAGUGCUCUUGGGACGUAGUCUUGUAAAGUACCGAGUAUUUCUUUUUACCUGUAACUAGAAGCUGAGAAAGCCUCAGACUGAAGCAGUCUGAAGUAUGUUGGAAAUAAAGUUUUCUUUUUGUUCUUUGCA